Molecule: long non-coding RNA, 633 nt
Organism: Daphnia pulex (common water flea)
Lineage: Eukaryota; Metazoa; Arthropoda; Branchiopoda; Diplostraca; Daphniidae
Exons: 3
Source: RefSeq, a predicted model, not a curated record
UUAUAAUUGAUUCUGGCACAGCCAAAAGUUUUUUCUCUCAAAUCUCAGCCGCCAUUUUGUUAUUUUCACCUGCGUUGUUGCGACAAACUGAUGUAGAAACAAAAAGGCUGUGAAACCAAAGAAAAAUGUUUUUUUUAUUUUCAUUUUAUUUUUGUCAUUGAUCAAGUUCAAACGAGUUGUUAUAGGACCAUCAGAGGCGGGCCAGCCACCCGGUUUGUGUACGGUUGAAUAGGUUUUCCCAUGGCUAACCGACAAGAGUGGGAGGAGCUAACGGCAGGAAGUGGAGAGGUGUCGUUGGAAAAAUGAUAAGAAUUUUGCGUGGAUUUCCCCACGUGAUGUAACGACUAGUAGCUGCAGACUCGGUCGCUUUUCUAACGAAAACACACAAACGUUUAACAAGAGACAAAACGAAAUCAACAAACAAAAAUAGUCGAAAGGAAGAGGGCGGUGUUUAUCGCUUAUCCACACACCACCAACUUGUUAAAAAUGUUUCCAACGGUGGAAAACUAGACUAAUAUUUUCGACAUUUUUUCUUUUUUUCUUUUUGGAAAAACCAGAGCCCAGGAAUUUUUCUUUUGUUUUAAAAAUAAACGACAUAAUCAUGGUUAAAGUUCGUACGAGAAAAGCUAUGAC